AUUGAAACACUAGUUUCUGUAUGAUCUCCGAAGUUAAGCAACAUUGAGCCUGGUUGGUACCCAGAUGGCUGGCUGCUUGGGAAUACCAGGUGUUAU
This is a non-coding RNA of Acanthosepion pharaonis, 96 nucleotides long. Lineage: Eukaryota; Metazoa; Mollusca; Cephalopoda; Sepiida; Sepiidae. The record is from the annotation of a GenBank genome assembly.